This is a long non-coding RNA of Gossypium arboreum, 441 nucleotides long. RefSeq lists it as uncharacterized. The record is from RefSeq and is a predicted model, not a curated record. Lineage: Eukaryota; Viridiplantae; Streptophyta; Magnoliopsida; Malvales; Malvaceae. The transcript is spliced from 2 exons.
AACAUUUGAAAGAAAAAAAAAAAGAGAGAGAGGGAGAGAGGUGAGGCGAUUUCCGGCCACAGGGCCGGUCACCGUCAGGUCGCCGGACCGUCGCCCGCCGCCGCCGCCGACCACCGUGCACGGUGGCCGAAAAAGAUGCAAGUGGUGAUAGGGACUUAGGCGGUGGAGCAGGUGGCGGUGGGUGGUGUCAGAAGAUGGUGCAAUGAGACGUUGGCGGCUAGGGGGGUUAGGGUUAGAUUUAGGGUUUUUUUUUCUGAUUUUGGGUUUUAGUGUUUGGGCUGUUAGGAAUUAGGUUUGGGAUUUGGGUUAUUGUUGGGUUGAUGUAAUUGGGUGGGAUUGUAUUGGGUUGUUGGGUUAAUUUGGUUUGGGCCAAAAUUGGCCUGUAACAAUUUUGUAGUUGAACCACUUUAAGACCAAUUAAAAUAGCCCAUAAUUCAGACU